CAGUCGCCGCGGGAAUACGGAGGGUGCAAGCGUUAAUCGGAAUUACUGGGCGUAAAGCGUGCGUAGGCGGUUUGUUAAGUCUGCUGUGAAAUCCCCGGGCUCAACCUGGGAAUGGCAGUGGAUACUGGCAAGCUAGAGUGUGUCAGAGGAUGGUGGAAUUCCCGGUGUAGCGGUGAAAUGCGUAGAGAUCGGGAGGAACAUCAGUGGCGAAGGCGGCCAUCUGGGACAACACUGACGCUGAGGCACGAAAGCGUGGGGAGCAAACAGGAUUAGAUACCCCAGUAGUCCCUGUCUCUUAUAC
This 301-nucleotide ribosomal RNA is filed under the name uncultured bacterium. Its description in RNAcentral is "partial 16S ribosomal RNA". It matches the Rfam family "Bacterial small subunit ribosomal RNA", at positions 509 to 807 of the family's 1533-position model. The record is from RNAcentral.